GAUGAACGCUGGCGGCGUGCUUAACACAUGCAAGUCGAACGAACCUUCGGGUGAGUGGCGGACGGGUGAGUAACGCGUGGGAAUCUGCCCUCAGGAGGGGGAUAACGGCUGGAAACGGCCGCUAAUACCCCAUAUGCCGAGAGGUGAAAUGAAUUUCGCCUGAGGAUGAGCCCGCGUCUGAUUAGCUAGUUGGUGAGGUAAGAGCUCACCAAGGCAUCGAUCAGUAGCUGGUCUGAGAGGAUGAUCAGCCACACUGGGACUGAGACACGGCCCAGACUCCUACGGGAGGCAGCAGUGGGGAAUUUUCCGCAAUGGGCGAAAGCCUGACGGAGCAACGCCGCGUGAGGGAUGAAGGCCUCUGGGCUGUAAACCUCUUUUCUCAAGGAAGAAGAUCUGACGGUACUUGAGGAAUAAGCCACGGCUAAUUCCGUGCCAGCAGCCGCGGUAAUACGGGAGUGGCAAGCGUUAUCCGGAAUUAUUGGGCGUAAAGCGUCCGCAGGCGGCCCUUCAAGUCUGCUGUUAAAACGUGGAGCUUAACUCCAUCAUGGCAGUGGAAACUGUUGGGCUCGAGUGUGGUAGGGGCAGAGGGAAUUCCCGGUGUAGCGGUGAAAUGCGUAGAUAUCGGGAAGAACACCAGUGGCGAAGGCGCUCUGCUGGGCCAUAACUGACGCUCAUGGACGAAAGCCAGGGGAGCGAAAGGGAUUAGAUACCCCUGUAGUCCUGGCCGUAAACGAUGAACACUAGGUGUCGGGGGGAAUCGACCCCCUCGGUGUCGUAGCCAACGCGUUAAGUGUUCCGCCUGGGGGAGUACGCACGCAAGUGUGAAACUCAAAGGAAUUGACGGGGGCCCGCACAAGCGGUGGAGUAUGUGGGUUUAAUUCGAUGCAACGCGAAGAACCUUACCAGGGUUUGACAUCCUGCGAACCUCUUGGAAACGAGAGGGUGCCUUCGGGAGCGCAGUGACAGGUGGUGCAUGGCUGUCGUCAGCUCGUGUCGUGAAAAUUUUGGGUUAAGUCCCGCAACGAGCGCAACCCACGUCUUUAGUUGCCAGCAUU
RNAcentral lists this ribosomal RNA (1055 nucleotides) under uncultured bacterium. RNAcentral's name for it is "bacterial SSU rRNA". It matches the Rfam family "Bacterial small subunit ribosomal RNA", at positions 28 to 1125 of the family's 1533-position model. The record is from RNAcentral.